GUUAUUACUUUCUACCAGCGCUUAAUUGCGCGGUGGAAAAUAACCCAUACACACAGUGUUUUUUGUUUAUUACAAGAACUAUUGCUUUGGCUUGGCGCAAGUCGGGCCAGAGGUUACUACGUAAACUUCAAUUUUUAAUUGAAUUGUUAUUUUAAUACAGUUGUCAAUUUGUUUGAUUAAAUUCAAAAAUAAUCUUCAAAACUUUCAACAACGGAUCUCUUGGUUCU
RNAcentral lists this unclassified non-coding RNA (227 nucleotides) under rhizosphere metagenome. Its description in RNAcentral is "partial ribosomal RNA internal transcribed spacer region". The record is from RNAcentral.